CAGUAGUUACUGGGUUUGGCCGCUAGAUGUCACUAGAGAAUGUACAUCACUUCCGGCGGAGCACACCUAGUCGACACACCUGCCUCCAGUCUGUUAUUUGAGGGCAAACUACUUCCAAGUCUGUGUCACACCUGAGCCGGAACAGCACCAGUGAUGAAAACCACAAAAGUAUCACCGCCAAAACUGAAACGCGGCGCAGGCAGCCCAAAGUGCAAAGUGGUCCUCAAUGAAAGGGACUUUGCCAGCAGCCCGGACUCAGACGCUGCAACAGUU
Nerophis ophidion (straightnose pipefish) is the source of this 273-nucleotide long non-coding RNA. RefSeq lists it as uncharacterized. The record is from RefSeq and is a predicted model, not a curated record. The transcript has 3 exons. NCBI's taxonomy places the organism in Eukaryota, Metazoa, Chordata, Actinopteri, Syngnathiformes, Syngnathidae.